AUGGCUAGGCAAGAAAGUUUUAAUGCUUAUGUUGGUAGAGAAUUAAAGAGUAAUGCUUUCAUGAUUGGACGCUUGAGUGAUUAUAUGGCUAGAGUUAAAGGUGAACUUAAACUCAUUAGAAUAUAUGCUUCUAUGGUUACCACUCAAGCAGAACAAGUACUUAAAGCCCAAAGUGAUUUGCUUGAUGAAUUAAAUAAUAAACAUGAUUUUGCUCUUAAAGUGGCUACUAGAACUAGUAGAAUGACACAGGAACCUUUGUAUCCUGAAGUCCACCCUGAGAGAAUCGAGCAAGAUUCUCAGAGAAAUAAUUUAGAGGUACCUAGUUCUUCUAAAAAGAAGAAAAAGAAAAAUGAUAGGACUUUGCAUGCUUCUAGUGAACCUGUUAUAGACACACCUGAGAAUCCCAAUGAUGUUUCUAUUUCUAAUGUUGAAACACAAUCAGGUGAUGAACAUGAACCUAGUGAUAAUGUUAAUGAUAAUGUUUAUGUUGAUGCUCAACCUAGCAAUACUAAUGAUAUAGAGAUUGAACCUGCUGUUGAUCUUGAUAACCCACAAUCAAAGAAUCAACAUUAUGAUAAGAGAGACUUUGUUGCUAGGAAGCACGGUAAAUAA
This 612-nucleotide ribosomal RNA is filed under the name Triticum aestivum (bread wheat). Its description in RNAcentral is "partial small subunit ribosomal RNA". Lineage: Eukaryota; Viridiplantae; Streptophyta; Magnoliopsida; Poales; Poaceae. The record is from RNAcentral.